RNAcentral lists this ribosomal RNA (770 nucleotides) under uncultured Halomonas sp. Its description in RNAcentral is "bacterial SSU rRNA". It matches the Rfam family "Bacterial small subunit ribosomal RNA", at positions 1 to 769 of the family's 1533-position model. Lineage: Bacteria; Pseudomonadati; Pseudomonadota; Gammaproteobacteria; Oceanospirillales; Halomonadaceae. The record is from RNAcentral.
UUAGAGUUUGAUCCUGGCUCAGAUUGAACGCUGGCGGCAGGCCUAACACAUGCAAGUCGAGCGGAAACGAUGGAGCUUGCUCCAGGCGUCGAGCGGCGGACGGGUGAGUAAUGCAUAGGAAUCUGCCCGGUAGUGGGGGAUAACCUGGGGAAACCCAGGCUAAUACCGCAUACGUCCUACGGGAGAAAGCAGGGGAUCUUCGGACCUUGCGCUAUCGGAUGAGCCUAUGUCGGAUUAGCUUGUUGGUGAGGUAAUGGCUCACCAAGGCGACGAUCCGUAGCUGGUCUGAGAGGAUGAUCAGCCACAUCGGGACUGAGACACGGCCCGAACUCCUACGGGAGGCAGCAGUGGGGAAUAUUGGACAAUGGGCGAAAGCCUGAUCCAGCCAUGCCGCGUGUGUGAAGAAGGCUUUCGGGUUGUAAAGCACUUUCAGUGAGGAAGAAGGCCUUGGGGCUAAUACCCCCGAGGAAGGACAUCACUCACAGAAGAAGCACCGGCUAACUCCGUGCCAGCAGCCGCGGUAAUACGGAGGGUGCGAGCGUUAAUCGGAAUUACUGGGCGUAAAGCGCGCGUAGGCGGCGUGAUAAGCCGGUUGUGAAAGCCCCGGGCUCAACCUGGGAACGGCAUCCGGAACUGUCAGGCUAGAGUGCAGGAGAGGAAGGUAGAAUUCCCGGUGUAGCGGUGAAAUGCGUAGAGAUCGGGAGGAAUACCAGUGGCGAAGGCGGCCUUCUGGACUGACACUGACGCUGAGGUGCGAAAGCGUGGGUAGC